GCCUUGGAAUAGCUCAGAUGGUAGAGCAUGAGAUUCUUAAUCUCAAGGUCAUGGGUCUGAGCCCCAUGUUGGGCA
This is a non-coding RNA of Podarcis lilfordi (Lilford's wall lizard), 75 nucleotides long. The record is from the annotation of a GenBank genome assembly. Lineage: Eukaryota; Metazoa; Chordata; Lepidosauria; Squamata; Lacertidae.